RNAcentral lists this long non-coding RNA (506 nucleotides) under Ananas comosus (pineapple). Its description in RNAcentral is "long non-coding RNA (ACOM_LNC001351)". Lineage: Eukaryota; Viridiplantae; Streptophyta; Magnoliopsida; Poales; Bromeliaceae. The record is from RNAcentral.
UUAGGAGUAUGGAGGCCUCCGUACUCCCAAGCCGUUUUCGAUGAUGGAGCUUCUGAAUCGAUGAUUGGCUCCGUUAGACUUGAUCUCAAAAUUAAAGUAUCUAGAAAAUAAAUUUUGUGAUUUUUCAAUAUCAUUUACCUUGCUAUCGAAAGGAUUCAAAAUCAAGGGCUGAAAAUAAAAAUCUCACAAAAAGUGGUGAUAUUGCAUUAAAAUUUUUUAUCAGAGAUAUUGAUCUUGCUGUAAAUAGUAUAAAGAAUUUUGUAUCAAAAUUUCAUCUGAUUUGAAUACUUUUACACAGUUAAACUUGCAAACGAAAUACAUCAACCAUUAAAAAUUAUUGAUUUUGAACCCUUUUGAUCGCUAGGUAAAUAAUAACGAAAAAUCGCAAAAUUUAUUUUCUAGAUAUCUCAAAUAUGCUAGAUCAAGUCUAACGGAGCCGAUCGUCGAUUCGGAAGUCCCAUCAUCGAAAACGGCUUAGGAGCACGGAGGCCUCCGUGCUCCUAAUA